CCUUUGGGUGGGGAAUAACCCAGGGAAACUUGGGCUAAUACCGCAUAAUGCAGCGGCUCGACAUCGAGACAGUUGUUAAAGCAGCAAUGCGCCUGAAGAGGAGCCUGCGUCUGAUUAGCUUGUUGGUGAGGUAAUGGCUCACCAAGGCUACGAUCAGUAGCUGGUCUGAGAGGACGGCCAGCCACAAUGGCACUGAAACACGGGCCAU
RNAcentral lists this ribosomal RNA (208 nucleotides) under uncultured bacterium. RNAcentral describes it as "partial 16S ribosomal RNA". It matches the Rfam family "Bacterial small subunit ribosomal RNA", at positions 129 to 334 of the family's 1533-position model. The record is from RNAcentral.